This 484-nucleotide ribosomal RNA is filed under the name uncultured bacterium. RNAcentral describes it as "partial 16S ribosomal RNA". It matches the Rfam family "Bacterial small subunit ribosomal RNA", at positions 30 to 507 of the family's 1533-position model. The record is from RNAcentral.
AUUGAACGCUGGCGGCAGGCCUAACACAUGCAAGUCGAGCGGAUGAAGGGAGCUUGCUCCUGGAUUCAGCGGCGGACGGGUGAGUAAUGCCUAGGGAUCUGCCUGGUAGUGGGGGAUAACGUCCGGAAACGGGCGCUAAUACCGCAUACGUCCUGAGGGAGAAAGUGGGGGAUCUUCGGACCUCACGCUAUCAGAUGAGCCUAGGUCGGAUUAGCUAGUUGGUGGGGUAAAGGCCUACCAAGGCGACGAUCCGUAACUGGUCUGAGAGGAUGAUCAGUCACACUGGAACUGAGACACGGUCCAGACUCCUACGGGAGGCAGCAGUGGGGAAUAUUGGACAAAGGGCGAAAGCCUGAUCCAGCCAUGCCGCGUGUUUGAAGAAGGUCUUCGGAUUGUAAAGCACUUUAAGUUGGGAGGAAGGGCAGUAAGUUAAUACCUUGCUGUUUUGACGUUACCAACAGAAUAAGCACCGGCUAACUUCGUG